RNAcentral lists this ribosomal RNA (1321 nucleotides) under Kocuria sp. H-KB5. Its description in RNAcentral is "bacterial SSU rRNA". It matches the Rfam family "Bacterial small subunit ribosomal RNA", at positions 21 to 1351 of the family's 1533-position model. The record is from RNAcentral. Lineage: Bacteria; Bacillati; Actinomycetota; Actinomycetes; Micrococcales; Micrococcaceae.
GGCUCAGGACGAACGCUGGCGGCGUGCUUAACACAUGCAAGUCGAACGAUGAAGCACCAGCUUGCUGGUGUGGAUUAGUGGCGAACGGGUGAGUAACACGUGAGUAACCUGCCCCUCACUCUGGGAUAAGCCUGGGAAACUGGGUCUAAUACUGGAUAUGACCGAUCUCCGCAUGGAGUGUUGGUGGAAAGUUUUUGUGGUGGGGGAUGGACUCGCGGCCUAUCAGCUUGUUGGUGGGGUAAUGGCCUACCAAGGCGACGACGGGUAGCCGGCCUGAGAGGGCGACCGGCCACACUGGGACUGAGACACGGCCCAGACUCCUACGGGAGGCAGCAGUGGGGAAUAUUGCACAAUGGGCGAAAGCCUGAUGCAGCGACGCCGCGUGAGGGAUGACGGCCUUCGGGUUGUAAACCUCUUUCACCAGGGACGAAGCUAACGUGACGGUACCUGGAGAAGAAGCACCGGCUAACUACGUGCCAGCAGCCGCGGUAAUACGUAGGGUGCGAGCGUUGUCCGGAAUUAUUGGGCGUAAAGAGCUCGUAGGCGGUUUGUCGCGUCUGCUGUGAAAGCCCGGGGCUCAACCCCGGGUCUGCAGUGGGUACGGGCAGACUAGAGUGCAGUAGGGGAGACUGGAAUUCCUGGUGUAGCGGUGAAAUGCGCAGAUAUCAGGAGGAACACCGAUGGCGAAGGCAGGUCUCUGGGCUGUUACUGACGCUGAGGAGCGAAAGCAUGGGGAGCGAACAGGAUUAGAUACCCUGGUAGUCCAUGCCGUAAACGUUGGGCACUAGGUGUGGGGGACAUUCCACGUUUUCCGCGCCGUAGCUAACGCAUUAAGUGCCCCGCCUGGGGAGUACGGCCGCAAGGCUAAAACUCAAAGGAAUUGACGGGGGCCCGCACAAGCGGCGGAGCAUGCGGAUUAAUUCGAUGCAACGCGAAGAACCUUACCAAGGCUUGACAUUCACCGGACCGCCCCAGAGAUGGGGUUUCCCUUCGGGGCUGGUGGACAGGUGGUGCAUGGUUGUCGUCAGCUCGUGUCGUGAGAUGUUGGGUUAAGUCCCGCAACGAGCGCAACCCUCGUUCUAUGUUGCCAGCACGUGAUGGUGGGGACUCAUAGGAGACUGCCGGGGUCAACUCGGAGGAAGGUGGGGAUGACGUCAAAUCAUCAUGCCCCUUAUGUCUUGGGCUUCACGCAUGCUACAAUGGCCGGUACAAAGGGUUGCGAUACUGUGAGGUGGAGCUAAUCCCAAAAAGCCGGUCUCAGUUCGGAUUGAGGUCUGCAACUCGACCUCAUGAAGUCGGAGUCGCUAGUAAUCGCAGAUCA